RNAcentral lists this ribosomal RNA (486 nucleotides) under uncultured bacterium. Its description in RNAcentral is "bacterial SSU rRNA". It matches the Rfam family "Bacterial small subunit ribosomal RNA", at positions 29 to 507 of the family's 1533-position model. The record is from RNAcentral.
ACGAACGCUGGCGGCGUGCCUAACACAUGCAAGUCGAACGUGAAGCCGGUGCUUGCACCGGUGGAAAGUGGCGAACGGGUGAGUAACACGUGAGAAACCUGCCCUGGAGACCGGGACAACCAUUGGAAACGAUGGCUAAUACCGGAUGCCCUCAGAUGAUCGCAUGAUCGACUGAGGAAAUGCUCUGGCGCUCUGGGAGGGUCUCGCGGCCUAUCAGUUAGUUGGUGGGGUAACGGCCUACCAAGACAUCGACGGUAGCUGGUCUGAGAGGACGAUCAGCCACACUGGGACUGAGACACGGCCCAGACUCCUACGGGAGGCAGCAGUGGGGAAUAUUGCGCAAUGGGCGAAAGCCUGACGCAGCAACGCCGCGUGAGGGAUGACGGCUUUCGGGUUGUAAAGCACUUUCAGCAGCGAAGAAAUGUCGGGGGCUAAUACCCCCUGGCUUUGACGUUAACUGCAGAAGAAGUACCGGCUAACUCCGUG